GUGAAUCAUCAAAUUUUUGAACGCAAAUUGCACUCUCUGGUAUUCCGGAGAGUAUGCCUGUUUGAGGGUCAGUUUAAAUAAAAAUCGUGGCGUUGCUGUCUUGUGACCCAUCGGAAUUGGGUCAUGCUUGACCUUUUAAAUAGUUUAAGUGACAUAACAUUGACACCUCUUGCAUUUCAGACGACUAUCAGAUUCUUCUUUUCUUCGC
RNAcentral lists this unclassified non-coding RNA (208 nucleotides) under Glomeraceae sp. RNAcentral describes it as "partial contains 5.8S ribosomal RNA and internal transcribed spacer 2". The stretch from base 1 to 71 matches the Rfam family "5.8S ribosomal RNA", at positions 84 to 154 of the family's 154-position model. The record is from RNAcentral. Lineage: Eukaryota; Fungi; Glomeromycota; Glomeromycetes; Glomerales; Glomeraceae.